Molecule: ribosomal RNA, 923 nt
Filed under: uncultured bacterium
Lineage: Bacteria
Description: bacterial SSU rRNA
Rfam family: Bacterial small subunit ribosomal RNA
Source: RNAcentral
AGAGUUUGAUCCUGGCUCAGGAUGAACGCUAGCUACAGGCUUAACACAUGCAAGUCGAGGGGAAACGACAUCGAAAGCUUGCUUUUGAUGGGCGUCGACCGGCGCACGGGUGAGUAACGCGUAUCCAACCUGCCCAUCACUUGGGGAUAACCUUGCGAAAGUAAGACUAAUACCCAAUGACGUCUCUAGAAGACAUCUGAAAGAGAUUAAAGAUUUAUCGGUGAAGGAUGGGGAAGCGUCUGAAUAGCUUGUUGGCGGGGUAACGGCCCACCAAGGCUACGAUCAAUAGGGGUUCUGAGAGGAAGGUCCCCCACAUUGGAACUGGGACACGGUCCCAAACUUCUACGGGAGGCAGCAGUGAGGAAUAUUGGUCAAUGGGCGAGAGCCUGAACCAGCCAAGUAGCGUGCAGGAUGACGGCCCUAUGGGUUGUAAACUGCUUUUAUAAAGGAAUAAAGUGAGCCUCGUGAGGCUUUUUUGCAUGUACCUUAUGAAUAAAGACCGGCUAAUUCCGUGCCAGCAGCCGCGGUAAUACAGAAAGUCCGGGCGUUAUCCCGGAUUUACUGGGUUUAAAAGGGAGCGUAGGCCCGGAGAUUAAGCGUGUUGUGAAAUGUAGAUGCUCAACAUCUGCACUGCAGCGCGAACUGGUUUCCUUGGUUACGCACAAAGUGGGCGGAAUUCGUGGUGUAGCGGUGAAAUGCUUAGAUAUCACGAAGAACUCCGAUUGCGAAGGCAGCUCACUGGAGCGCAACUGACGCUGAAGCUCGAAAGUGCGGGUAUCGAACAGGAUUAGAUACCCUGGUAGUCCGCACGGUAAACGAUGGAUGCCCGCUGUUGGUCUGAAUAGGUCAGCGGCCAAGCGAAAGCAUUAAGCAUCCCACCUGGGGAGUACGCCGGCAACGGUGAAACUCAAAUGAAUUGACGG